AUUGAACGCUGGCGGCAGGCCUAACACAUGCAAGUCGAACGGUAACAGGGAUCAGCUUGCUGAUUCGCUGACGAGUGGCGGACGGGUGAGUAAUGUCUGGGAAACUGCCUGAUGGAGGGGGAUAACUACUGGAAACGGUAGCUAAUACCGCAUAACGUCGCAAGACCAAAGAGGGGGACCUUCGGGCCUCUUGCCAUCGGAUGUGCCCAGAUGGGAUUAGCUGGUAGGUGGGGUAACGGCUCACCUAGGCGACGAUUCCUAGCUGGUCUGAGAGGAUGACCAGCCACACUGGAACUGAGACACGGUCCAGACUCCUACGGGAGGCAGCAGUGGGGAAUAUUGCACAAUGGGCGCAAGCCUGAUGCAGCCAUGCCGCGUGUAUGAAGAAGGCCUUCGGGUUGUAAAGUACUUUCAGCGGGGAGGAAGGGAGUAAAGUUAAUACCUUUGCUCAUUGACGUUACCCGCAGAAGAAGCACCGGCUAACUCCGUG
Molecule: ribosomal RNA, 490 nt
Filed under: uncultured bacterium
Lineage: Bacteria
Description: partial 16S ribosomal RNA
Rfam family: Bacterial small subunit ribosomal RNA
Source: RNAcentral